Xiphophorus couchianus (Monterrey platyfish) is the source of this 2357-nucleotide long non-coding RNA. RefSeq lists it as uncharacterized. NCBI's taxonomy places the organism in Eukaryota, Metazoa, Chordata, Actinopteri, Cyprinodontiformes, Poeciliidae. The transcript is spliced from 2 exons. The record is from RefSeq and is a predicted model, not a curated record.
AGACAAACCUACCAAAAUCCCUGUAAGACAGCUGCAAUUUUGACACAUGGAUAUUUGUCAAUGUGUCAACAGGGAGGAUAAUUACUAUAUUACUACCAAAUAUGGAUUAAAAAUUUAAUUCUUACUUAAAAAUGUUUGUACUGCAUGUCUAUGUUAAAAACAAUUCUCAAGGAAACAUGACACCAAAAAGAGGAAGUUUCCCAAAACCUUCUUAUCCCUUCCAGACAAUGCAUAUGGAUUUUAUUGAACUUACACAAAGUGGACCAUAUAAAUAUUGUUUGGUAAUGACUGAUGCAUUUUCUAAAUGGGUUGAAAUAGUCCCAGCAAAGCACACAGAUGCUCUGACAGUAGCUAAAGCUAUUUGUAAAACUAUUAUUACAUCACAUGGCAUACCACAAACCUUUUAUAGAGAAGAGCAGAUUAAGAAAAUGUAUGGAAACAUCUAACAGGCUGUGGCCAGAAUGUUUAGGUUUGGUGAAGUUCUACAUGAGAAUUACACCCACACAGGAAGGAUUAACCAUUUGAAAUAAUUUAUGGAAGACCAUAAAGAUUACCGAUAUUUUCUGCAGAUUUACAGAAAGCAGAUGAGGAGCAAACAUUGGCAGACUAGAUGAUUAGGACUCUAAGACAGAAAGAGGUAUCAAAUGCAAAUUUACUGCCCUCUGACUCUCCUCUCCCACAGAAAACCCCUCCCAUCAAGCCAGCAGACUGGGUGUAUAUCAAAGUCAUAAAAAGGAAGAGCUGGGCCAGUCCACAGUGGGAGAGACCAUUCCAAGUGCUGAUAACCACACCAACUGCUGUAAAGAUUGCUGAAAGACCCAGCUGGAUACAUCUCAGUCACUGUAAGGUGCAGAGGGUGUUAGACCUCUAAUUCAGAGUGACAGGGAAGCCUGACUUCAAAGGGGUUCUGCCGUUUAAGGCAGUUCGUCUCAACGUCAGUGAAGAAACCAACAAAUCCUCACUCUGCUAGGCUGGGGGUCCUGAAUACUGGGGGUAUUCUGAGCAGCAAUGGGGUCACAUGCCAGGUGGAACCUCUACUGUGACUGCAGCAUGUCUACUGUUUUGCAGAGGGAGUGGUCUCACUCUCAACAGGAUAAGAAGAGAAGCAGACACAUCCUCCCUCCAGACUCAUCCACAUGACUACAGCACCAACUUGUGGUGGCAACUGAUGAAUAGGUACCCUGCUCUACACACAACUCUGGACUGAGACCUGGAAACAUAACCAAACAACAACAACUUUGUUUGUGACACCAUGCCCCUGCCACAGAUGGACCUCUGACUACCAGAAGUAAUCACUUUGGUUAGUUUUAAGCCAGGACCCCUUGGUGUCUAUGUGUAUAACAAUGGCACUACCGUUUUGGGGACCAUCCCAUGGAACCAGUGUAACAAAAUCUAGACUUUCUGUGACAAGAAGGCAGACUUUUUCGACUGUAAAACCUGCCAAGCGAUGAACCACAUCAGUACUGACUGUUCCAUAAGAUGGAAGUCUGACCGCAACUGUACCAGAGUUAACCUUCUCAAGGUAAGGAGGUUCGACAUCGGCAGCAAGACCAGGGGAUGUCAAAGCUUCACCAUCUGCAGAACCAUCAUUCCAGGGAACAGAGGAUCCAGGACAAUGGCAGAUUGGUACUUUCUGUGUGGACACACUGCUUAUGCUUCUCUUCCCAGAAAUUGGGGAGGACUGUGUGCCCUGGUUCCCCUGUCCAACCCAGUGACUUUCCUGAAAAAGGUUCAGGAAAGGUUCAGGAUGCUCACAGCCAUGGACGCUACCGCACUAGCAGAGACAUCAUGCUGGAAGUCCAAAGGUGAGGAUGCCUUGCUACAAAAUCUAUAGUUCCUUGGAAAUUCAGUAUCUGGGCCGGCAGAGAAAGGUUUAUGCAAAGCCUAUUCCCAUGGGUGGGAGUAGCUGAAGUUUGAGAACACGUUGGGAUCAACAGGAACUGGAGGAACUAUACAUGAUGCCCUGCAUGAAUUGGAAGACCGUAAGGACUAUAUGGACAGUGCAACUCAGGGGUCACAACCUUUUGACCUUGUUUCUUGGCUCACCUCUGGACCAUGGUGGCAGCUUUUGUUAAAGAUUGGAACAUCCACCUUGACUGUACUGAUCCUAUUCUGUCUUUUACAACUUACAUCAUUCUAUGUCUUUGUAGCAUGAUGCUAAAGACAUUUAACACUGCUCUGAUCAGCUAUCAGAUGGUAUGGGUAACCUCUGACAGAUGAGGACUAUAUAUGGUUCCAGAAGAAUGAAGAUGAACUGAAAACAGGAACAUGAUGAUGUUCUUUAAUUAAUAAACAGAUUAAAUCAUUUGCUUAAUGUCUCCUACACUGAACAUGUGAAAACAAAUUAUGUUUGUGAU